AAAAAGACAAACCCUGGGUUUCCGUGUCUAACUUUGACUGUCCGUCUUAUAUGAAAUUUUUUUAUAAUUUGUAUUUUCAUUGUUGUUAAAUGAUAAAACAUGAUUAAUAUUUUAUGCGUGACUUGUCUUUUUACUUUUUUUUUCAUAAUUUUUUCAAAUAAGACGGACGGUCAAACGUUGGGCACGGAAAUCAAGGUUUGUCUUUUUU
This 208-nucleotide microRNA precursor is filed under the name Oryza sativa Japonica Group (Japanese rice). RNAcentral's name for it is "MIR812 microRNA precursor family". It matches the Rfam family "MIR812 microRNA precursor family". Lineage: Eukaryota; Viridiplantae; Streptophyta; Magnoliopsida; Poales; Poaceae. The record is from Rfam by way of RNAcentral.